Molecule: ribosomal RNA, 580 nt
Filed under: uncultured eukaryote
Lineage: Eukaryota
Description: bacterial SSU rRNA
Rfam family: Eukaryotic small subunit ribosomal RNA
Source: RNAcentral
CGCCGAAUGAGUUUCUGACCUAUCAACUCGAGACGGCGGGGUAGAGGCCCGCCGCGGUAACGACGGUAACGGGGAAUCAGGGUUCGAUUCCGGAGAGGGAGCCCGAGAAACGGCUACCACUUCCAAGGAAGGCAGCAGGCGCGCAACUUACCCUAAUCUCGAUUCGAGGAGGUAGUGACAAGAAAUACCGAUGCGGGGACCCUACGGGUGCCGCGUUCGGAAUGAGUACGAUUCGAACCACCUAACGAGGAACGAUCGGAGGGCAAGUCUGGUGCCAGCAGCCGCGGUAAUUCCAGCUCCAAUAGCGUACGUUAAAGUUGCUGCAGUUAAAAAGCUCGUAGUUGAACGUUCGGGUUCCGCGGGACGGGGCCGCCCCGCGAGGGACGGCGCCGCCCCGGGGCUCGUGAUAUCUCAUCUCGCCGCCCGUCGCGAGGCGGACGGAGGGAUGGAUGAGGUUACCUGGAAAAAAUCGGGGCGAUCUAGGCGGGCGAACCUCGCCAACGAACGAUCGGACAUGGGAUAACGGAAGAGGGCGUCGGCUCGACUUCGUCGGUUCCUCGGGCCGAGGCACGUACGGUGA